AUAGACCUCGGGAGGCAGCAGUAGGGAAUUUUCGUCAAUGGGCGCAAGCCUGAACGAGCAAUGCCGCGUGAACGAGGAAGGUCUUCGGAUCGUAAAGUUCUGUUGAAGGGGAAAAAGAGCGGAGAGAGGAAAUGGUCUCCGAUUGAUAUUACCCUUCGAGGAAGUCACGGCUAACUACGUGCCAGCAGCCGCGGUAAUACGUAGGGGGCUAGCGUUAUCCGGAAUUACUGGGCGUAAAGGGUGCGUAGGUGGUUUCUUAAGUCAGAGGUGAAAGGCUACGGCCCAACCGUAGUAAGCCUUUGAAA
This 305-nucleotide ribosomal RNA is filed under the name uncultured bacterium. RNAcentral describes it as "bacterial SSU rRNA". It matches the Rfam family "Bacterial small subunit ribosomal RNA", at positions 331 to 632 of the family's 1533-position model. The record is from RNAcentral.